AGGUACUCCGGGGAUAACAGGCUGAUACCGCCCAAGAGUUCAUAUCGACGGCGGUGUUUGGCACCUCGAUGUCGGCUCAUCACAUCCUGGGGCUGAAGUAGG
This 102-nucleotide ribosomal RNA is filed under the name Escherichia coli 6-319-05_S3_C2. Its description in RNAcentral is "partial 16S ribosomal RNA". It matches the Rfam family "Bacterial large subunit ribosomal RNA", at positions 2461 to 2562 of the family's 2925-position model. The record is from RNAcentral. Lineage: Bacteria; Pseudomonadati; Pseudomonadota; Gammaproteobacteria; Enterobacterales; Enterobacteriaceae.